RNA transcript from Osmia lignaria (orchard mason bee), 2926 nucleotides. It is a transcript of the gene named guanylate cyclase soluble subunit beta-1-like, with no coding region annotated. The record is from RefSeq and is a predicted model, not a curated record. Lineage: Eukaryota; Metazoa; Arthropoda; Insecta; Hymenoptera; Megachilidae.
ACAUUCAUUACACUUUCAUUUCGCUUCGAAGUUAAAUUGAAAAGUUUCUUUCUUCGUUUAAUUAAAUUUGUUGACAACUAUAGUGGAACGAAGCGUGUCUACCAGUUAUUAAGAAUAAUGAUGUUAAUGAAGAUUUCAAUAUUUCUGUGAAUAUCUCGCGAGGUGUUUAAUUUCAUUAUAAAAAAAAAAAGGAGAUAAUGAUAAAAUCGCUAAAGAUGAAGAUAAAAAGCAAUAGGUACUAACGCUGAGGAAUUUUCAAAAUCAGAUAUAUCAUGAUUUAUUCAACGCGUCUGUUGGCAUCGAGCGCGUUUGAAAGACGACCUUUAAAGCGUGUAAAUUUGAAAGGACCCUACACACAAUCAGAGCGUUUCGGAGCGGUUAGGGAACGGAGUAAAAUCGGCGCUGCUGUCGGUUGCCCGACCUGUUCCCGAAUACCUGCGAGCUCUAUGUCGUUAUUACGAACUUCAGACUCUCGUAAAAGACCCGUAAAGAAUCACUGAAAGUUCACGGUAUAGAUUUUAAAGUACUAUACAAAAGGGAAAAGUAUCGUGUACCGAUAAACGCGAGCAGAACGAAUGUGUCUUGCCGUUGUUCACGAAAGUUCGUGCAACAAGAGACACAGAACAGAGAUCAACGUUCAACUUCUCCGUACAGAAGUUCCUUCGAGACAAGAUUCCAUUCCGAGUGAGUCCAGGUUACUCGAAGAAAGAACAUGUCCCCUCCGUCUAACCUCGUGUGCCACGAAGACGAGGGUAAGAUAUAACGAGCAUACCAAGUACGGGAUAUCGUUCAGUGGUUUGUGUAGUGUCGACACGUUGAACGUGAGCAUGGUUAAGCUUCGAAAAAAGGUGGGUUUCAACAGCGCUGGUCCAGACAUACCAGCAAACGAGAUCCUCGAGCUAUUCGGACGAAUGUUCUUCGAGUUCUGUCAGGACUCUGGUUACGACAAGAUUCUUCAGGUGCUCGGAGCGACGCCCAGGGACUUUUUGCAGAACUUGGAUGCCCUUCACGAUCAUUUAGGCACUUUGUACCCGGGAAUGAGGGCACCCUCUUUUCGGUGCACCGAGAGACCGGAGGAUGGAGCGCUCAUAUUACAUUAUUACUCCGAUCGACCUGGCUUAGAGCACAUUGUGAUUGGCAUCGUUAAGACCGUGGCGAAAAAGCUUCACGGCACGGAUAUUGAAAUGAAAAUAUUGAAGACGAAAAACGAAUGCGAUCACGUUCAAUUUCUGAUAACCAAUACGUCUGGACCCGGGGUUGUAUCGAACCCCAUGAUUGCAGAAUUGGAAACUCUGUCCGUCGAGCCAAAAGUGAGCCCUAUGACGUUCUGUCGGGUUUUCCCUUUUCACUUGAUGUUCAAUCGAGACCUGACCAUAGUACAAACUGGAUGCACUAUAACUCGAGUGAUACCUCAAGUGUCCUCUGGUAAUUGCAAGUUAAGCGACAUUCUUCUCACCAUCAGACCACAUUUAGAGCUGACGUUCGAGAAUAUAUUGUCACACAUAAACACCGUGUACGUACUGCGGACGAAGAAGGGUGUGAUGAGAGUCAACGCUUCUGAAGAGUACUCGUAUCUCCGCUUAAAAGGACAAAUGUUAUACAUUCCUGAGUCGGACUUCGUGAUCUUCCUCUGUUACCCCAGCGUUAUGAAUCUAGACGAUUUAACCCGACGAGGAUUGUAUCUGAGCGACAUCCCUCUUCACGACGCCACCAGAGAUCUGGUGCUGAUGUCGGAGCAAUUCGAGGCUGAUUACAAAUUAACGAGAAACUUGGAGCUGCUUACCGAUAAAUUGCAGCAGACGUAUCGCGAGUUGGACGGCGAGAAGCAGAAAACCGACAGAUUGCUUUACUCCGUGCUGCCAAUUUCCGUGGCGAACGAGCUCCGACAUUCCAGGCCAGUUCCAGCUAAGAAGUACGAUUGCGUGACCCUGUUGUUCUCCGGAAUAGUCGGUUUCGGUGCGUACUGUGCAGCUCACACGGAUUCCAGCGGCGCGAUGAAAAUCGUCAACAUGCUGAAUCAGCUGUACACCGCCUUUGACGUGCUCACCGAUCCAAAAAAGAAUCCCAACGUGUACAAGGUCGAAACUGUUGGUGACAAAUACAUGGCCGUGAGCGGAUUACCAGAACCAUGUCGUUGCCAUGCACGAUGCAUCGCUCGCCUAGCGUUAGAUAUGAUGGAUCUUGCUGCAGAUGAAGUGCAGAUCGAUGGCGAGCCUGUGAAAAUCACCAUCGGGAUCCAUAGCGGCGAGGUUGUGACCGGUGUCAUCGGCCACCGUAUGCCACGUUAUUGUUUAUUCGGAAAUACGGUGAACCUUACCAGCCGAACGGAAACCACCGGAGAACCUGGGAAAAUAAACGUUUCCGAAGACGCGUACAGGUAUCUGUGCAUGCCUGAGAACCAGGAUCCACAAUUUCUGCUGGAAUACAGAGGACCCGUGACCAUGAAGGGCAAAUCAGAUCCCAUGAAUGUUUGGUUCCUAUCCAGAGAAAGAGAAUUAGCCGCAUAAAUUUAAAACAAUCUAAUUUUUACAGUUCUGUACUAUGGAAAAGGUAAUCCCAGAGCGACUCUCUAAAUUUGACUUCCAAUGAAUUCGUUUGAUAUUCAGGUAAAAAGCGUAAAAAAGACUUCCCCGGAGAAUAGUCUGCAAGUCAUAAAACGAAACGAAUAGUGCUCAUUAACUUUCAUUAUCCUUCCCGUUUUCCAUUCGUCCACUGUCACAAUAGGAAUAACCAUACCUAAUUUGGCACACGGUUAUGUGGAUUAACAUGUUGGCCAUCAAAACUCAAAAGCAGUAUGUUAUAUAAUAAUAAUUACAUAAGGAUACCUUUAUUUUAUUUUUUAGUGAAUUUUGUUUUUUUCGUUCAAUUUUCUAUAUGAAAUUAUUAAUCUUAUGCAGCUGCAUUUGCCCGAGGCAUGCAGUACGUU